GGAAGGGGUGUAUUUAUUAGAUAAAAAACCAAUGCCCUUCGGGGCUCCUUGGUGAAUCAUAAUAACUUAACGAAUCGCAUGGCCUUGCGCCGGCGAUGGUUCAUUCAAAUUUCUGCCCUAUCAACUUUCGAUGGUAGGAUAAUGGCCUACCAUGGUGGCAACGGGUAACGGGGAAUUAGGGUUCGAUUCCGGAGAGGGAGCCUGAGAAACGGCUACCACAUCCAAGGAAGGCAGCAGGCGCGCAAAUUACCCAAUCCCGACACGGGGAGGUAGUGACAAUAAAUACUGAUACGGGGCUCUUUUGGGUCUCGUAAUUGGAAUGAGUACAAUCUAAAUCCCUUAACGAGGAACAAUUGGAGGGCAAGUCUGGUGCCAGCAGCCGCGGUAAUUCCAGCUCCAAUAGCGUAUAUUAAAGUUGUUGCAGUUAAAAAGCUCGUAGUUGAACCUUGGGUCUGGCUGGCCGGUCCGCCUCACCGCGAGUACUGGUCCGGCUGGACCUUUCCUUCUGGGGAAUCUCAUGGCCUUCACUGGCUGUGGGGGGAACCAGGACUUUUAC
This 556-nucleotide ribosomal RNA is filed under the name uncultured Aspergillus. RNAcentral describes it as "SSU rRNA". It matches the Rfam family "Eukaryotic small subunit ribosomal RNA", at positions 194 to 755 of the family's 1831-position model. The record is from RNAcentral. Lineage: Eukaryota; Fungi; Ascomycota; Eurotiomycetes; Eurotiales; Aspergillaceae.